GUGACUUCAUCCUACCACAUCCUAUCACUUGAGUCACAAUAAUUCUCCUUUUUUUAAAAAACUGCCAAAUGGCCUUACUAAACCAACACUACUGAAAACACUGGAAUGUGUUUGGCAAAUAGAUUCUAAGAGAAACAAACUAACACAGAAGAAAUUAGCCAAGCAUGUCUUUGAAUUCUAUCCUGUAUUCGGGAAUUCUAAAACUGGUCAACGAAAACCCAGGCUAUAUUUAAAGUUUGAGAUGUAUACCAUUGUAUUUAAAAAGGCUGUUGAAGAAUGGGCUCAGUACCUUUUGUAGAAGAAGAACAUGCAAAAGUUGAAAAGGAUAGCUUUCGCCACUAUAUAUUAAUGGUCAAAGCUAUGCCAACUUAAGUUUUCAUACAACUGUUAUGUUAUGCUAUCAUUAGUGCAUAAUUACUACAGUGAUUGUUUACAGAUUUCUUUAUGUAUAUGUGUACAAAUAUGAAAAAUUUAGAGACAGGUGAAACAAAGAUGGAGUUUACCUUCCAUGUUCCUAAAGGAUAUUUAUAUCUGAAUUGAUUAAAAUAAUAAUAAAUGUUCAUCCUUUCAAUUUUA
Long non-coding RNA from Podarcis raffonei (Aeolian wall lizard), 576 nucleotides. RefSeq lists it as uncharacterized. The record is from RefSeq and is a predicted model, not a curated record. The transcript has 2 exons. Lineage: Eukaryota; Metazoa; Chordata; Lepidosauria; Squamata; Lacertidae.